GACGAACGCUGGCGGCGUGCCUAAUACAUGCAAGUAGAACGAGUUGCGAACGGGUGAGUAAUGCUUGGGAAUCUAGCUUAUGGAGGGGGAUAACUACGGGAAACUGUAGCUAAUACCGCGUACCAUAGGAUGAGCCCAAGUGGGAUUAGGUAGUUGGUGAGGUAAAGGCUCACCAAGCCGACGAUCUCUAGCUGGUCUGAGAGGAUGACCAGCGACAUUGGGACUGGGAUACGGCCCAGACUCCUACGGGAGGCAGCAGUGGGGGAUAUUGCACAAUGGGCGAAAGCCUGAUGCAGCGACGCCGCGUGGGGGAUGAAGGCUUUCGGGUUGUAAACCUCUUUCGCUAUCGAACGGGUAGGUGGAGAAGAAGCGCCGGCUAACUACGUGCCAGCAGCCGCGGUAAUAC
Molecule: ribosomal RNA, 406 nt
Filed under: uncultured bacterium
Lineage: Bacteria
Description: partial 16S ribosomal RNA
Rfam family: Bacterial small subunit ribosomal RNA
Source: RNAcentral